UAAAAGCCACACUUGUGGGGUCAGCUGGCUAUCUUGGUUUUGGUACUCCUCAUCUGAAGAAAACAAGAUCUGUUGCAUACUUUUAAACAUUUCUAUAAUGACAUCUGCUUGCAUUUACCAAGCUAUUGUAGCUUUCGUCGCUCUCACAGCAUGGUCUUAAGCUGAAGAGUUAGCUACAAAUGGUGCUUGCAGCAUUAGUACUUGUCAUCGGCCUUCUAUUAUAACGAAUUCAACUACUUUCUGCAAUCUGGCUGAGAAUUACAUCAAAUGUCUGAAUGACAAUGUGAUCAAUCAACACUGCGGCCUGAAAAUAACACUUUUGGCAAAAGGCCUAAGAGCUGCUGUGAAAGUCCUCAUGAAGAAAAUGCACUGCAAUCAAACAGAGACAGCAACAGCUACAAAUGGUGGACCAUGCAAUGUGGAAUCCUGUGUCUAUCCUCACAUUAACUCCAAAUCUUUCUGCCAUGAAGCCACUGAGUACAUAAACUGCAUACAAGAACACAUCUUUGAUGUCGACAACUGUCGUUGGGAACAGCUUGAAACUGGGUAUUUCAAGAGUUUCUUACUCUCAGCUGAAGUGGUGGAUACCAAAAAAUGCCCAGAUAAUCCUAAGGAACAGCAUGGCAACGUGGCACAUUGUUCGGUGAAAUGCCUACACGAGUAGGUCAAAUCGUGUCGAUGAGAAGAUAGCUCUGUGUUUCUAUCUAACAAAAUAUCAUUUCAGUUUUACUCUUUACUAAUUAUAGUUAUACAAAAUGGAAAUCAUCAUAUUUUACUAUUAAAACAUUUAGACCAUGUUGCCAUUGGAAAUGUAAUACAAAAAUUAUUAGUAAAGAAAGGUAAGCUAGUUAAGCUUUUAAGAAGAAAAAUGUAAUUUUUGUUUCAAAAUUGCCGUACAUCUAAAAAAUAAAAGGUAUCAAAGUUAUCA
Long non-coding RNA from Physella acuta, 928 nucleotides. RefSeq lists it as uncharacterized. NCBI's taxonomy places the organism in Eukaryota, Metazoa, Mollusca, Gastropoda, Physidae. The record is from RefSeq and is a predicted model, not a curated record.